GACGAACGCUGGCGGCGUGCUUAACACAUGCAAGUCGAACGGAAAGGCCCUGCUUUUGUGGGGUGCUCGAGUGGCGAACGGGUGAGUAACACGUGAGUAACCUGCCCUUGACUUUGGGAUAACUUCAGGAAACUAGGGCUAAUACCGGAUAGGAGCUCCUGCUGCAUGGUGGGGGUUGGAAAGUUUCGGCGGUUGGGGAUGGACUCGCGGCUUAUCAGCUUGUUGGUGGGGUAGUGGCUUACCAAGGCUUUGGCGGGUAGCCGGCCUGAGAGGGUGACCGGCCACAUUGGGACUGAGAUACGGCCCAGACUCCUACGGGAGGCAGCAGUGGGGAAUGUUGCACAAUGGGCGGAAGCCUGAUGCAGCAACGCCGCGUGCGGGAUGACGGCCUUCGGGUUGUAAACCGCUUUCGCCUGUGACGAAGCGUGAGUGACGGUAAUGGGUAAAGAAGCACCGGCUAACUACGUG
RNAcentral lists this ribosomal RNA (468 nucleotides) under uncultured bacterium. Its description in RNAcentral is "partial 16S ribosomal RNA". It matches the Rfam family "Bacterial small subunit ribosomal RNA", at positions 28 to 507 of the family's 1533-position model. The record is from RNAcentral.